GCUGCAUGGCUGUCGUCAGCUCGUGUUGUGAAAUGUUGGGUUAAGUCCCGCAACGAGCGCAACCCUUAUCCUUUGUUGCCAGCGGUUCGGCCGGGAACUCAAAGGAGACUGCCAGUGAUAAACUGGAGGAAGGUGGGGAUGACGUCAAGUCAUCAUGGCCCUUACGACCAGGGCUACACACGUGCUACAAUGGCAUAUACAAAGAGAAGCGACCUCGCGAGAGCAAGCGGACCUCAUAAAGUAUGUCGUAGUCCGGAUUGGAGUCUGCAACUCGACUCCAUGAAGUCGGAAUCGCUAGUAAUCGUAGAUCAGAAUGCUACGGUGAAUACGUUCCCGGGCCUUGUACACACCGCCCGUCACACCAUGGGAGUGGGUUGCAAAAGAAGUAGGUAGCUUAACCUUCGGGAGGGCGCUUACCACUUUGUGAUUCAUGACUGGGGUGAAGUCGUAACAAGGUAACCGUAGGGGAACCUGCGGUUGGAUCACCUCCUUACCUUAAAGAA
Molecule: ribosomal RNA, 503 nt
Filed under: Klebsiella pneumoniae
Lineage: Bacteria; Pseudomonadati; Pseudomonadota; Gammaproteobacteria; Enterobacterales; Enterobacteriaceae
Description: bacterial SSU rRNA
Rfam family: Bacterial small subunit ribosomal RNA
Source: RNAcentral